RNAcentral lists this ribosomal RNA (497 nucleotides) under uncultured bacterium. Its description in RNAcentral is "partial 16S ribosomal RNA". It matches the Rfam family "Bacterial small subunit ribosomal RNA", at positions 28 to 507 of the family's 1533-position model. The record is from RNAcentral.
GAUGAACGCUGGCGGCGUGCCUAAUACAUGCAAGUCGAGCGAACGGACGAGAAGCUUGCUUCGCUGAUGUUAGCGGCGGACGGGUGAGUAACACGUGGAUAACCUACCUAUAAGACUGGGAUAACUUCGGGAAACGGGAGCUAACACGGGAGAAUAUUUUGCAGCACAUGGUUCAAAAGUGAAAGACGGUGUUGCGGGCAGGUAUAGAUGGAUACGCGCUGCAUGAGCUAGUUGGGAAGGACAAGGCCUACGAAGGCAACGAUGCAUAGCCGACCUGUUAGGCUGAUCGGCGACACUGGAACGUGGCCGCGCUCCAGGCUCCUGCGGGACGCACCAGUCGCCAAUCUUCCGCAGAGGGCGGAAACCUUACGCAGCGGCGCCGCGUGUGUGACGACGGUCUCCCGAUCGUAAAACUCUGUUAUUAGUGAAGAACCUCUGUGUCCGUAGCCGUGCCCUUCUUGACGGUACCUGAUCAGAAAGCCCCGGCUAACUACGUG